AGACUCAGAAGAGUUCAAACCAUGGUGGGUCAUUGUUCCAGUGGUCAUUGUGCUCUUUGUUUCUCCUGGCCUUGUUUACUGCAGGAUCAAAAGAAGACGACAAAAUAGAGAAAAUGUACACAGUGCUGACGAAAUGCCUGAAACCCGUGUUCCAUUGUGUGAAAACCCAUUGCCAGGGCCAGGCCAUGUCGUGCCGCCACUAGUGCCAAUUUCCCAGUAUGUCAGCUGAAACAAGGGGUAGACAUGUGAAUGCAGCUAAAUGGAGAUUUUUAUAACUGAUAUUAACCCGUUGUGAAUAUGGAAUACAUAAUCUUUACAGUUUGCUAAUCGGCUAUUUUAAUCAAGUCUGCCAAUUUCGUCAUGUUUAUCUUUUUUCUAAACUAGACAUUUUACCAUACACAUGGAUUGUACCGCAUAUUUUAUCUUAUUUCUUUCACUGAGUAUGAUUGCAGUAAAAUCCGUCAUAAGAACUUUGUGUCCGAUAAUCCUGGUAGUAUUUACACAAUCCUUAUGCGUGUAACUGUUUACCUCUGCGUGAACAUGUUAAUCUUUUGACUUCAAGUUUUGUGUCUCAAACUUAACCUUUCCACUUAUAAUAGCGUGGUUUUAAUGACGUGUCAAAAGUGCUUUUUUGUAUUGUGGUUAUAAUGGAGCGGUUUUAAUGGCGUUUCGAAACCGACUUUUUUGCAUUGUGGUUAUAAUGGCGUGUCAAAAGUUCCCUUUUCUGUAUUGUGGUUAUAAUGGCAUGUCAAAAGUGCCUUUUUUCUGUAUUGUGGUUAUCAUGGCGUGUCCAGAGUGCCUUUUUAGUGUUGUGGUUAUAAUGGCGCGGUUAUAAAUGCGUGUCAGAAGAGUCUAUUUUGUAUUGUAGUUAUCAUAUCGUGUCAGAAGUGCCUUUUUUGUAUCGUGGUUAUAAUGGCGCGGGUUUAAUGGAGUGUCAAAAGUGUUUUUUGUAUUGUGGAUGUAAUGGCGCGGUUUUAAUGGCGUGUCAAAAGUGCCUUUUUGUAUUGUGGUUAAAAUG
Molecule: long non-coding RNA, 1018 nt
Organism: Liolophura sinensis
Lineage: Eukaryota; Metazoa; Mollusca; Polyplacophora; Chitonida; Chitonidae
Exons: 3
Source: RefSeq, a predicted model, not a curated record